ACCUCUUUCAUCAAACAAGUACCCUGUGAUAGGUUUUCAAGAGCUAGUUAAAUCCACUAUAGUCUGCUAUUUUCUCCGUGGUUUAUAAGUUUUCAGUGAUGAUAUUUGGUUAUUUGUGGACGUCUAGGUGGUCACAUAAACCCAGCGGUGACGUUCGGGCUGUUCCUGGGUAGGAAGCUGUCCUUGACGAGGGCCGUCUACUACAUGGUGAUGCAGUGCCUGGGCGCCAUAUGCGGGGCCGGCGUGGUGAAAGGGUUCGAAAAGGCUAGCACGUUCGAGAGGCUGAACGGGGGCGCCAACUUCGUCGCCCAUGGCUACACCAAAGGCGACGGCCUCGGCGCCGAGAUCGUCGGUACCUUCGUGCUCGUUUACACCGUCUUCUCCGCC
Molecule: long non-coding RNA, 387 nt
Filed under: Eucalyptus grandis
Lineage: Eukaryota; Viridiplantae; Streptophyta; Magnoliopsida; Myrtales; Myrtaceae
Description: long non-coding RNA (EGRA_LNC005792)
Source: RNAcentral